RNAcentral lists this small RNA (133 nucleotides) under Arabidopsis thaliana (thale cress). Its description in RNAcentral is "ATSL124050". Lineage: Eukaryota; Viridiplantae; Streptophyta; Magnoliopsida; Brassicales; Brassicaceae. The record is from RNAcentral.
AAGAAACGAAAAUAAAAUACCUAAUAUAAGCUUCGACACAUACAGCUCUUUCUUACUGGAAAUCUUGCAUAUUCCGAACAUACAUUUUUAUUUUAGGACGGAUAUACCUAUAGAUUCAUUUGCAAGAUUGAUU